Molecule: ribosomal RNA, 439 nt
Filed under: uncultured bacterium
Lineage: Bacteria
Description: partial 16S ribosomal RNA
Rfam family: Bacterial small subunit ribosomal RNA
Source: RNAcentral
CUACGGGAUGCUCCAGUGAGGAAUAUUGCACAAUGGGGGGAACCCUGAUGCAGCAACGCCGCGUGGAGGAUGACGCAUUUCGGUGUGUAAACUCCUUUUAUAUGUCAAGAAAAUGACGGUAGCAUACGAAUAAGCACCGGCUAACUCCGUGCCAGCAGCCGCGGUAAUACGGAGGGUGCAAGCGUUACUCGGAAUCACUGGGCGUAAAGGACGCGUAGGCGGGUUGGAAAGUCAGGUGUGAAAUCCUACGGCUUAACUGUAGAACUGCACUUGAAACUUCUAAUCUAGAGUAUGGGAGGGGGAGAUGGAAUUAGUGGUGUAGGGGUAAAAUCCGUAGAUAUCACUAGGAAUACCUAAAGCGAAGGCGAUCUCCUGGAACAUAACUGACGCUAAGGCGUGAAAGCGUGGGGAGCAAACAGGAUUAGAUACCCUCGUAGUC